CCUACGGGUGGCAGCAGUGAGGAAUAUUGGUCAAUGGGCGCGAGCCUGAACCAGCCAAGUCGCGUGAGGGAAGACGGCCCUACGGGUUGUAAACCUCUUUUGCCGGGGCGCAACGGGCGCCAAGUGUGGCGCCACUGAGAGUACCCGGAGAAAAAGCAUCGGCUAACUCCGUGCAAGCAGCAGCGGUAAUACGGAGGAGGCGAGCGUUAUCCGGAUUUAUUGGGUUUAAAGGGUGCGUAGGCGGAGCGUUAAGUCCAUGGUCAAAUUGAGGGGCUCAACCCCUUCCCGCCAUUGAAACUGGCGCUCUUGAGUGGAAGAGAGGUAAGCGGAAUGCGUGGUGUAGCGGUGAAAUGCAUAGAUAUCACGCAGAACCCCGAUUGCGAAGGCAGCAUGCCGGCUUCCGACUGACGCUGAAGCUCGAAAGCGUGGGGAUCGAACAGGAUUAGAUACCCUGGUAGUC
This 460-nucleotide ribosomal RNA is filed under the name uncultured bacterium. Its description in RNAcentral is "partial 16S ribosomal RNA". It matches the Rfam family "Bacterial small subunit ribosomal RNA", at positions 338 to 795 of the family's 1533-position model. The record is from RNAcentral.